ACAUGCAGUCGAGCGAACGGACGAGAAGCUUGCUUCUCUGAUGUUAGCGGCGGACGGGUGAGUAACACGUGGAUAACCUACCUAUAAGACUGGGAUAACUUCGGGAAACCGGAGCUAAUACCGGAUAAUAUUUUGAACCGCAUGGUUCAAAAGUGAAAGACGGUCUUGCUGUCACUUAUAGAUGGAUCCGCGCUGCAUUAGCUAGUUGGUAAGGUAACGGCUUACCAAGGCAACGAUGCAUAGCCGACCUGAGAGGGUGAUCGGCCACACUGGAACUGAGACACGGUCCAGACUCCUACGGGAGGCAGCAGUAGGGAAUCUUCCGCAAUGGGCGAAAGCCUGACGGAGCAACGCCGCGUGAGUGAUGAAGGUCUUCGGAUCGUAAAACUCUGUUAUUAGGGAAGAACAUAUGUGUAAGUAACUGUGCACAUCUUGACGGUACCUAAUCAGAAAGCCACGGCUAACUACGUGCCAGCAGCCGCGGUAAUACGUAGGUGGCAAGCGUUAUCCGGAAUUAUUGGGCGUAAAGCGCGCGUAGGCGGUUUUUUAAGUCUGAUGUGAAAGCCCACGGCUCAACCGUGGAGGGUCAUUGGAAACUGGAAAACUUGAGUGCAGAAGAGGAAAGUGGAAUUCCAUGUGUAGCGGUGAAAUGCGCAGAGAUAUGGAGGAACACCAGUGGCGAAGGCGACUUUCUGGUCUGUAACUGACGCUGAUGUGCGAAAGCGUGGGGAUCAAACAGGAUUAGAUACCCUGGUAGUCCACGCCGUAAACGAUGAGUGCUAAGUGUUAGGGGGUUUCCGCCCCUUAGUGCUGCAGCUAACGCAUUAAGCACUCCGCCUGGGGAGUACGACCGCAAGGUUGAAACUCAAAGGAAUUGACGGGGACCCGCACAAGCGGUGGAGCAUGUGGUUUAAUUCGAAGCAACGCGAAGAACCUUACCAAAUCUUGACAUCCUUUGACAACUCUAGAGAUAGAGCCUUCCCCUUCGGGGGACAAAGUGACAGGUGGUGCAUGGUUGUCGUCAGCUCGUGUCGUGAGAUGUUGGGUUAAGUCCCGCAACGAGCGCAACCCUUAAGCUUAGUUGCCAUCAUUAAGUUGGGCACUCUAAGUUGACUGCCGGUGACAAACCGGAGGAAGGUGGGGAUGACGUCAAAUCAUCAUGCCCCUUAUGAUUUGGGCUACACACGUGCUACAAUGGACAAUACAAAGGGCAGCGAAACCGCGAGGUCAAGCAAAUCCCAUAAAGUUGUUCUCAGUUCGGAUUGUAGUCUGCAACUCGACUACAUGAAGCUGGAAUCGCUAGUAAUCGUAGAUCAGCAUGCUACGGUGAAUACGUUCCCGGGUCUUGUACACACCGCCCGUCACACCACGAGAGUUUGUAACACCCGAAGCCGGUGGAGUAACCUUUUAGGAGCUAGC
Molecule: ribosomal RNA, 1419 nt
Filed under: Staphylococcus aureus
Lineage: Bacteria; Bacillati; Bacillota; Bacilli; Caryophanales; Staphylococcaceae
Description: bacterial SSU rRNA
Rfam family: Bacterial small subunit ribosomal RNA
Source: RNAcentral